UACAGAGGUCCCAAGCGUUGUUCGGAUUCACUGGGCGGAAAGGGUGCGUAGGUGGUCGGGUAAGUUUGAUGUGAAAGCUCCGAGCUCAACUCGGAAAUGGCAUUGAAUACUAUUCGGCUAGAGGGGUGGAGGGGGGACUGGAAUUCUCGGUGUAGCAGUGAAAUGCGUAGAUAUCGAGAGGAACACCAGUGGCGAAGGCGAGUCCCUGGACAACUCCUGACACUGAGGCACGAAAGCUAGGGGAGCAAACAGG
This 253-nucleotide ribosomal RNA is filed under the name uncultured bacterium. Its description in RNAcentral is "partial 16S ribosomal RNA". It matches the Rfam family "Bacterial small subunit ribosomal RNA", at positions 524 to 776 of the family's 1533-position model. The record is from RNAcentral.